UAAGGAAUAUUGGACAAUGGUCGCAAGACUGAUCCAGCCAUGCCGCGUGCAGGAUGACUGCCCUAUGGGUUGUAAACUGCUUUUGUACGGGAAUAAACCCCUCUACGUGUAGAGGGCUGAAUGUACCGUAAGAAUAAGGGUCGGCUAACUUCGUGCCAGCAGCCGCGGUAAGACGAAGGACCCGAGCGUUAUCCGGAUUCAUUGGGUUUAAAGGGUGCGUAGGCGGGUUGAUAAGUCAGUGGUGAAAGCCUAAUGCUUAACAUUAGAACUGCCAUUGAUACUGUCAAUCUUGAAUAUGUUUGAUGUGGGCGGAAUAUGACAUGUAGCGGUGAAAUGCUUAGAUAUGUCAUAGAACACCGAUUGCGAAGGCAGCUCACAAAGCCAUUAUUGACGCUGAGGCACGAAAGUGCGGGGAUCAAACAGG
This 424-nucleotide ribosomal RNA is filed under the name uncultured bacterium. Its description in RNAcentral is "bacterial SSU rRNA". It matches the Rfam family "Bacterial small subunit ribosomal RNA", at positions 355 to 776 of the family's 1533-position model. The record is from RNAcentral.